This 336-nucleotide unclassified non-coding RNA is filed under the name soil metagenome. RNAcentral's name for it is "partial contains 5.8S ribosomal RNA, internal transcribed spacer 2, and large subunit ribosomal RNA". The stretch from base 1 to 120 matches the Rfam family "5.8S ribosomal RNA", at positions 35 to 154 of the family's 154-position model. The record is from RNAcentral.
GAUGAAGAACGUAGCGAAAUGCGAUAAGUAGUGUGAAUUGCAGAAUUCAGUGAAUCAUCGAAUCUUUGAACGCACAUUGCGCCCCUUGGUAUUCCAUGGGGCAUGCCUGUUCGAGCGUCAUUUGUACCUUCAAGCUCUGCUUGGUGUUGGGUGUUUGUCUCGCCUCUGCGCGUAGACUCGCCUCAAAACAAUUGGCAGCCGGCGUAUUGAUUUCGGAGCGCAGUACAUCUCGCGCUUUGCACUCAUAACGACGACGUCCAAAAGUACAUUUUUACACUCUUGACCUCGGAUCAGGUAGGGAUACCCGCUGAACUUAAGCAUAUCAAUAACGGAGGA